Molecule: ribosomal RNA, 483 nt
Filed under: uncultured bacterium
Lineage: Bacteria
Description: partial 16S ribosomal RNA
Rfam family: Bacterial small subunit ribosomal RNA
Source: RNAcentral
AUUGAACGCUGGCGGCAUGCUUUACACAUGCAAGUCGAACGGCAGCGCGGGCUUCGGCCUGGCGGCGAGUGGCGAACGGGUGAGUAAUGCAUCGGAACGUGCCCAGUAGUGGGGGAUAGCCCGGCGAAAGCCGGAUUAAUACCGCAUACGACCUGAGGGUGAAAGCGGGGGACCGAAAGGCCUCGCGCUAUUGGAGCGGCCGAUGUCGGAUUAGCUAGUUGGUGGGGUAAAGGCUUACCAAGGCGACGAUCCGUAGCUGGUCUGAGAGGACGACCAGCCACCGUGGGACUGAGACCCGGCCCAGGCCCCUAGGGGGGGGCGGAGGGGGGAAUUUUGGAAAAGGGGGGAAACCCUGACCCAGCCAUGCCGGGGGGGGGAAGAGGGCCUUCGGGUUGUAAACCGGUUUUGUUGGGGAAAAAAUCCUCUGGGCUAAUACCCCGGGGGGAUGGGGGUACCGGAAAAAUAAGCCCCGGCAAACUACGU